CUACGGGUGGCAGCAGUGAGGAAUAUUGCACAAUGGGGGAAACCCUGAUGCAGCAACGCCGCGUGGAGGAUGACGCAUUUCGGUGUGUAAACUCCUUUUAUGAGUCAAGAAAAUGACGGUAGCUCAUGAAUAAGCACCGGCUAACUCCGUGCCAGCAGCCGCGGUAAUACGGAGGGUGCAAGCGUUACUCGGAAUCACUGGGCGUAAAGGACGCGUAGGCGGGUUGUCAAGUCAGGUGUGAAAUCCUACAGCUUAACUGUAGAACUGCACUUGAAACUGGCAACCUAGAGUAUGGGAGGGGGAGAUGGAAUUAGUGGUGUAGGGGUAAAAUCCGUAGAUAUCACUAGGAAUACCGAAAGCGAAGGCGAUCUCCUGGAACAUUACUGACGCUAAGGCGUGAAAGCGUGGGGAGCAAACAGGAUUAGAUACCCGAGUAGUC
Molecule: ribosomal RNA, 439 nt
Filed under: uncultured bacterium
Lineage: Bacteria
Description: partial 16S ribosomal RNA
Rfam family: Bacterial small subunit ribosomal RNA
Source: RNAcentral